ACCUCCCAACCCUGUGUCUACUCAACUUGUACGUGUUGCUUCGGCGGACCGGCGUCGCAAGAUCGCCGCCGGGGGGUGUUCAACCCCCUGGAGAGUGUCCGCCGAUGGCCCAACCAAACCACAUUAUCAAAACCAAAACGAUUGAACCCUCCAUUCUGAAUCAGACCAUUUUGAUAUACCAAUCAAAAACAAAACUUUCAACAACGGAUCUCUUGGUUCUGGCAUCGAUGAAGAACGCAGCGAAAUGCGAUAAGUAAUGCGAAUUGCAGAAUUUCCGUGAGUCAUCGAAUCUUUGAACGCACAUUGCGCCCUUUGGCAUUCCGAAGGGCAUGCCUGUUCGAGCGUCAUUAUCCUCCCUCAAGCCCCCGGGUUUGGUGUUGGACCGCGUUGGAUCGUUCGCGACCAACUGGUCUCAAAGACAAUGACGGCGUCCGUGGGACCCUCUUCGCACUGAGCUUUCCGGAGCACGCGUCGAGUUUCAAGGUGUCACGGGCCCGGCCUCUAAAACGAAUUUUUUUCA
RNAcentral lists this ribosomal RNA (520 nucleotides) under fungal endophyte. RNAcentral describes it as "eukaryotic LSU rRNA". The stretch from base 193 to 347 matches the Rfam family "5.8S ribosomal RNA". Lineage: Eukaryota; Fungi. The record is from RNAcentral.